GCCGGUGUGGUGGAAUUGGUAGACACCCGAGACUUAAAAUCUCGUGGGCUUAGGCCCGUACCGGUUCAAGUCCGGUCACCGGCACAA
RNAcentral lists this transfer RNA (87 nucleotides) under Spirochaetaceae bacterium 4572_59. RNAcentral's name for it is "tRNA-Leu". It matches the Rfam family "tRNA". From Rfam's summary of the family: Transfer RNA (tRNA) molecules are approximately 80 nucleotides in length. Their secondary structure includes four short double-helical elements and three loops (D, anti-codon, and T loops). The record is from RNAcentral. Lineage: Bacteria; Pseudomonadati; Spirochaetota; Spirochaetia; Spirochaetales; Spirochaetaceae.